AUACGUAGGGGGCGAGCGUUGUCCGGAAUGAUUGGGCGUAAAGGGCGCGUAGGCGGCCCGGUAAGUCUGGAGUGAAAGUCCUGUUUUUAGGAUGGGAAUUGCUUUGGAUACUGUCGGGCUUGAGUGCAGGAGAGGUAAGUGGAAUUCCCAGUGUAGCGGUGAAAUGCGUAGAGAUUGGGAGGAACACCAGUGGCGAAGGCGACUUACUGGACUGUAACUGACGCUGAGGCGCGAAAGUGUGGGGAGCAAACAGGAUUAGAUACCCUGGUAGUCCACACUGUAAACGAUGAAUGCUAGGUGUAGGGGGUAUCGACCCCUUCUGUGCCGCAGUCAACACAAUAAGCAUUCCGCCUGGGGAGUACGGCCGCAAGGUUGAAACUCAAAUGAAUUGACGGGG
RNAcentral lists this ribosomal RNA (397 nucleotides) under uncultured bacterium. RNAcentral's name for it is "partial 16S ribosomal RNA". It matches the Rfam family "Bacterial small subunit ribosomal RNA", at positions 523 to 918 of the family's 1533-position model. The record is from RNAcentral.